This 66-nucleotide transfer RNA is filed under the name Dongibacter bovis. It matches the Rfam family "tRNA", at positions 5 to 66 of the family's 71-position model. Rfam says of the family: Transfer RNA (tRNA) molecules are approximately 80 nucleotides in length. Their secondary structure includes four short double-helical elements and three loops (D, anti-codon, and T loops). Lineage: Bacteria; Bacillati; Bacillota; Negativicutes; Selenomonadales; Selenomonadaceae. The record is from RNAcentral.
CAGUAGCUCAGUUGGAUAGAGCAACGGCCUUCUAAGCCGUGGGUCGAGGGUUCGAAUCCCCCCUGA